UCCUUGAUAGCUCAGUUGGUAAAGAAUCUGCCUGCAAUGCAGGAGACCCUGGUUCGAUACUGGGUCGGGAAG
RNAcentral lists this transfer RNA (72 nucleotides) under Capra hircus (goat). It matches the Rfam family "tRNA". From Rfam's summary of the family: Transfer RNA (tRNA) molecules are approximately 80 nucleotides in length. Their secondary structure includes four short double-helical elements and three loops (D, anti-codon, and T loops). RNAcentral also lists the same sequence under 1 other name. The record is from Rfam by way of RNAcentral. Lineage: Eukaryota; Metazoa; Chordata; Mammalia; Artiodactyla; Bovidae.